Sinocyclocheilus rhinocerous is the source of this 363-nucleotide long non-coding RNA. RefSeq lists it as uncharacterized. NCBI's taxonomy places the organism in Eukaryota, Metazoa, Chordata, Actinopteri, Cypriniformes, Cyprinidae. The transcript is spliced from 3 exons. The record is from RefSeq and is a predicted model, not a curated record.
CAGCUUGCCCCGGUAUGAGACCUGUCAGGUGUUCGGCCGCAGUCUGCUGAAGUCUAUCUUCACUGUCACCCGCAGACAGUUACUGGAGAAGUUCAGAGUGGAGAAAGACAAACUCCCACCAGAGAAACGCACUCUGAUCCUCACACACUUCCCCAAGUUUCUUUCCAUGUUGGAAGAAGAAAUCUAUGGAGAGAACUCACCCAUUUGGGAGGCAGACUUCACCAUGCCAGCCUCAGAGGGGACACAGCUGGGGCAUCAAACAGUGCUGAGUCCAGUCUCGGUGUCUGGCUCUCCUCUCAGUAAAGGCAGCAGUGGUUCUGCUCUGGGUGUUACAGGUUUGGACGUCGCUUCCUCUGAACCAGU